This 422-nucleotide long non-coding RNA is filed under the name Homo sapiens (human). RNAcentral's name for it is "HSALNT0113802". The record is from RNAcentral. Lineage: Eukaryota; Metazoa; Chordata; Mammalia; Primates; Hominidae.
GCCUAUAAUUUUUCCUAUCCAGGGAUUGUGAAACCUAGGAAAUGCCCAACAGUAAAAGGAAUAAUGCGAGUCAUUUCUCAGUUCCCUAAAUCAGCAAUGAUCAGGGUUGCAAUAGAAGGCCUUUAUUAAGAGCUGGGGUGAAAGAAGAUUUAGGAACCUCUUCAGAGAAAUAAACCUUGAGAGAGAAAUAGAAUCUUCUAGAAGAGAAGAGGAACGAAUAGCAUCCUUGGCCCAGACAGUCCUGGAAAACAAUAACCUGAACAUUGCUGUGCGUGGUGGCUCCUGUCUGUAAUCCCAGCUACUUGGGAUGCUGAGAGGGAGGAUGGCUUAAGUCCAGGAUUUUGAGUACAGCCGGAGCAACAUAGUGAAUGCCUGUCUCUAAAAUAAUAAUAAUAAUGAUAAUAAUAAUAAUAAUAAUAAUA